This is a long non-coding RNA of Callorhinchus milii (elephant shark), 356 nucleotides long. RefSeq lists it as uncharacterized. The record is from RefSeq and is a predicted model, not a curated record. NCBI's taxonomy places the organism in Eukaryota, Metazoa, Chordata, Chondrichthyes, Chimaeriformes, Callorhinchidae. The transcript has 3 exons.
GCUGACAGUCUUUACAAAGACGGAGUGGGAGCCCGAGCUGGGAGAGAUAUCGGAAGGGAAAGGAGGAAAUGGUGGAAGACACAAAAGAUUUUGAAAACUGAGAGGGAGACGACAAAGCAGAAGGAUUUGAAAAGAAAGUUCAAUGGAUCGCUGAAUUGGAAUUAUCCUGGUCAUCCAACUUGGCCCAACUUGUAAAAGGGGAAGGAAGGAAAGCUUGGAAUGAUUUGGAAAAAUGGGGAUCCCAGCUGGUCGGUUGUGAGCAGCGAUCACAAUGCAGUGAACAUUUAGUCGCUAAUGAUGAACAUUCUUUGACCCUAUCUCGAGACUGAAGAGUGUCAACAGUGAAGGCACAGAUU